This 1563-nucleotide long non-coding RNA is filed under the name Dromaius novaehollandiae (emu). Its description in RNAcentral is "lncRNA (ENSDNVG00000004759.1)". Lineage: Eukaryota; Metazoa; Chordata; Aves; Casuariiformes; Dromaiidae. The record is from RNAcentral.
GGCAGAGACACCAAARCAGCACAAUGUUCUUGUAUCAAAACACCUCAUUCCAGAAUUAGAUCUGAAUAAAAUCUCUCAGCUCUCUACUAAUGCUUAGGAACUAGCUCUUCUUGUUUGAGAUACUAAUAUUUGGAGUCUUACUCGGUGAAAAAUAGUGUGUCACUCAUUCAUGAAGUUAGCUGCUGUGCUGACAAGAAGAGAGAAGCAUGCAACAUUUGGAUCACACACUGUACUUUUGAUACAAAACCAUUUAGAGCAAGGAAGAGCAGUUUUGGCUAUAAAUGAUUUAGAAUGUUUUAUUAAAUUGAAUAUGUAUUCUAAUAGCAGAGAGGCACUUGCAAAAAUGCAUGGACUCCAAGUGCCUGUUGUUUUGGACUGAAACUUUUCUAAAUGAUUUUGGGUUGGUUAAGCAUUCACAAUUUUAUGUACUUUACAUUUCUCCCAUUGCAUAAUAGAACCCUGUGCUUUUCUCUGUGCAUAGUGCAGGAUUAUAAAUGCACGGAGAAAGCCGUAAUAGGUCCGCAGGAAGGAUGUGAGCACCACAGUUCAAGUACUUUGUGAUCUUCUCGAGCAGUCCUCCCACUAGUGCAAGAGGAGAGAGGUGGGUGAAGUCAGUCAUUGCAAUAGAUUAAGUUAAGCAACAAGAUUCCUCCCAUGAAACACUUGAGACUCUUUAUUUUUAUUUUAAAGCAGGAAAAUUCUUCAAUGCUGCUUGACAAACCUUUAGUUGAUCUCUUAGAUAAGCAGAUUAAAAAGGAUCCAUAAACUACCGAGUUUGUUGCAGCUAAGCCUGGCAUAUUGCCAUGCCUGAGAAAAAUUGUGUGUUUGUGGGAGCAAGAAGUCACCUAUUUGUGCAACUGCCUAAGACCCAUGAGGAUGAAAGAGCCUCAGCUUUUGUGGAGURCCUGCUUGUUCUUUGUUUCCACAGGCUGGGUGAGGGGAAUGAAUGUCUCCAGCGUAAAGGAGGAACUGGACAUCAGUUUCCUUCACUUACUUCACACGGGAGGUGAAUAUGCUGUACUUGGCAAUUCUAUCUUACCUGUGUCCGAGAAGUGUAGGACAACCAUCCAGGCUGACAGUAUUACCAGGCACAAGGUGUUUUUAUGAAAAGCUGCUGCCAUUUCCACAGCCGUAACUUAGGCUUCCUGUGAAUUUUCUGCAGAGGUGGAGCCAAAGGAGUUAGGGAAAGGUGGGAAGAAUGUGAAAUAGAAUCUCUUAUGUUAGACUCCACAUAGAUAUGUCUAAAGAAAUGUAUGUUUUACCAUUUUAGCUAUGCUAUUCUUUGCCACUUUGCAGUUUCACUUAUCAAAUUUGCUAGUAUAUAUGAUUUGCUUCAUCAGUGCAACCCUGAGAAGGAAAAUACUGUGUUUAACUUGAGCCAGGCUGUGUAAGCCUGACUGACUUUAGUGGUUUAGCAUUUACAUGUAAAUACCAUUUUUAUUUAUCUGUAUUUCUGAAUUUUGUGGCUUACUCAUAUCCUUUAUUGUAUGUGCUUUCUUUGUUUUGUGAUGGUUUGGAUCUGCCAAAAAGUACAUAAGAUAAAAAAAAGAAUAUUGAUUUUUU